GUCAUGUGUGUUAAAUGAUUGAGGGGAAAAAAACAGAAAAACUGGAUCAUUGAAGAAAUUAUUCACUCAGACUUCACUCAAGACUGAGCAGAGAUAAUACACAGAAGGAAAAGUGAAAAACAUCAAAGCCUCUUCUAACUCAAAAACAAUUAUGGAGAGCACAAUUUGCUUUUCUAGUUGAAGUAAAGCACCCUCCUUGGGAGAUCUUCACUCUUCACAUCUUCAUUUGAUUACAGCCUGCUUCAUCUUUCACCAUGAGUAAAAGCUGCUUGAAG
RNAcentral lists this long non-coding RNA (275 nucleotides) under Homo sapiens (human). RNAcentral describes it as "HSALNT0374565". The record is from RNAcentral. Lineage: Eukaryota; Metazoa; Chordata; Mammalia; Primates; Hominidae.